GAUGAUGCUGCAGACUAUGAGAACAGCUCGGCAAUAUACACAUGGCAACUCCAUCAAGCAGAAGCUCUGCAGACAGAAAGCCUGGAUGAUGAGCCAGACUAUGUCAACGCAGCUCCUGCAUCAGGCCCUGCCCCGCUGUCAAAGCAAAGUACUCUGUGUAAAGCCUGAAGAAAUCCUUAGCUGAGCUGUAGGAGCACAUCAGUGAGCACACAAGGGGUUUUCCAUCCCUCAGAGGAGUCGCUUCACCAAAUUGUGCCCAAGAUCAUGCAGAAGGUGCCACUAAAAGGAAGCAAUGUUCUGCUUGAAGUCCCAUGGAAGUCCAACUGCAAACCUGCAACUGGAGAAAGUACUCAAUGGCCACGGGCCAUUUCCCAUCUCAUUCCCCUGCAUGUCUGCUGGAAGGAGGAUGGCCACUCUGUGCCAUGUUUUCUCCUGUCAAGCAUGAAAUGAAUGUUUAAAUUGCAGAGCAGUAAUGCAGCCAGCUACUUAAUUUGUCAGGGUGACUCAUGCAUGAUGGUAUUAAGACAUAGGGAUUAUGUUCUGAUUUAGUUCCUAUGCUCUCCCACAGAAGCAGUUUCCUACAAGAGAGGAACUGGCAAGGCAGAGGUUGCUUUUAAAACAGCAGUGGUUUGUGGAGCUAAAUGUCAUACCAACCUGCUCACCAGAGCUAAAGAGGAUUAAAUCCCUGCCUUGCCCACAGCCUGUAAUUCACAGUAUCCAUGGCAGUUUUUCUUGUGUUUCACUAUCUGGUUUAUAACAAUACAAAGAUGCUGCAACAGCUGAGAAGGUCAGAUCCACAGCUGCCAGCCUGAGAAACUGCAUCAGGUCUUUUAGUAGUGCUGUAGGAACAUCAGCCCUGAAACACAGUCCUUGUCUCUUGAGCCCUGAUGCACAGAUUUGGCACCGGUUUAUCACUUAUUUAUUAAAAUGGA
Molecule: long non-coding RNA, 932 nt
Organism: Melopsittacus undulatus (budgerigar)
Lineage: Eukaryota; Metazoa; Chordata; Aves; Psittaciformes; Psittaculidae
Exons: 3
Source: RefSeq, a predicted model, not a curated record